AAAUUUUAGAAUUGGGGUUCAAUUUUCAGAAUUAUGUUUUUACUUUUAAAAAAAUUCUACUGUUCAUCGCUUUUUCGGCAACUUUUCGGCCAGUCACCAUCCUAAAGCCCCUUUCAUUUUUUUUAAUAUUUUUCCAUCCAAGCUAACAACCAGUAUGCUGCGGCUGCCCAACUUCUUCUUCCUUCAUCACCGUUUCGAGCAGCCAACAACUUCACCACCAUCGGAGUUACAAGACCACCGAAACCCUCUCCAAACCAGUUCCAAAACUCCCUUCCUUUUUCCGUUACAAUUUUCAGCUAAGAAACCACCGGAAACACACCUAUUUUCACCACCAGUGACCACCAGACACCACCACAAGCUCGAACCACCAAGCUCCGGCAAAGAGCACCCAAUGUACAGUUCCCCUCCCCCUUUCCCUCUUACGAUUCUCCUCUAUUUGCAGGUAUUCAGUGAAUCUCUAAACUCCAGCGAGAAUGAACAAACAAGAACAACUAAAAUUUCUAAAUCUGCCUGAAUUUUCUAUUUUUCCGGUAAACUCCGAUAGUUAUUUUAUUUUGGUCAUAUUUGUUUAACAUUUUGUUAAUAUAGUUUAUCUGUUAUGUUGUGUUUGGUUUUAUAAUUCUCUUAUAUUUGUUUAUUCACUUUUGUUCCUUUAUCUUGUCAAUUUUUGUUUACUUUCAUUGUUUAUUCUUUGUGAGAUUCUUGUUUCAUUAUUUAUUAUUUUUCAUUGUUUAAUUGGUGUAUUCUAAUUUUAUGCCCAUUAAUGACUUUUGUUCUAUGUAUUGUUUGUUGUUGCCGAUGUUAUCUUUAUUAUUAUUAUUAUAAGUUCAAUGUUAUUUAAUAGAGUUAUAGUUAUUAUUCUGUUUGUUAUUAUUAUUAUUAAUACUCUUAUUGUUUAUAAUAUUAUGUUGUCCGUUUAGGUUGGACUGAUAUUAGCUAUUCAAAGUUUAUUAAGUUUUAUGUUUGUUCAAUUGGCCAAUGAAAAAAAAUUUUGUCGGUUUUGGAGGUCUUUCCAUUUUAAAAGACGGAAAUUUAAUUUAAAUUUAUAUAUUUUAGUUGUUAGAAUUGGACGAUGAAGAAAUUAUCGUCGAUUUUCAAGGCCUCCCAUAUUCAUAAGACGAAUUUUUUAUUUUUAAGUUAUUAUAUCAUAUAUUCAAUUUUAUUCAUAUUUAUUUAUUUCCAACAUUUUUACUAUGUGUGUUUACAGGUACUCAAGACUUGCUUCCUUGAAGUUAUUCAAAGGAGUUCGAAUUAUAUUUUUAAUUCAUUAUUUUGUAUAUAUAUCGAUGUUAGUCAAAUUUUAGACCGGUAUUAUUAUUUUAUUUUUAUUGUGUAUAUUGCUUGUUUAUUAUAUUUGUGCAUUAUUUUAUUUUCCUCCUCAAGUUGAAAAAAUGAACUCAAUCGAGAAUUAGUGGUGG
Molecule: long non-coding RNA, 1418 nt
Filed under: Solanum lycopersicum (tomato)
Lineage: Eukaryota; Viridiplantae; Streptophyta; Magnoliopsida; Solanales; Solanaceae
Description: long non-coding RNA (SLYC_LNC000406)
Source: RNAcentral